RNAcentral lists this transfer RNA (84 nucleotides) under Gammaproteobacteria bacterium. Its description in RNAcentral is "tRNA-Tyr". Lineage: Bacteria; Pseudomonadati; Pseudomonadota; Gammaproteobacteria. The record is from RNAcentral.
GGAGGGGUUCCCGAGUGGCCAAAGGGAUCAGACUGUAAAUCUGACGCGYAAGCUUCGGUGGUUCAAAUCCACCCCCCUCCACCA